UACGUAGGGGGCAAGCGUUGUCCGGAUUUAUUGGGCGUAAAGAGCGUGUAGGCGGUUAGGUAGGUCCGUUGUGAAAACUCGAGGCUCAACCUCGAGACGCCGAUGGAAACCAUCUAACUAGAGUCCGGAAGAGGAGAAUGGAAUUCCUGGUGUAGCGGUGAAAUGCGCAGAUAUCGGGAAGAACACCCGUGGCGAAGGCGGCUCUCUGGGACGGUACUGACGCUGAGACGCGAAAGCGUGGGGAGCGAACAGG
RNAcentral lists this ribosomal RNA (253 nucleotides) under uncultured bacterium. RNAcentral's name for it is "partial 16S ribosomal RNA". It matches the Rfam family "Bacterial small subunit ribosomal RNA", at positions 524 to 776 of the family's 1533-position model. The record is from RNAcentral.